UCCGGUUUAGACCGGCAGUCCCCUAUGAGUCCCCGGCCGAACCGCUGGCAACAUAGGGCAAGGGUUGCGCUCGUUGCGGGACUUAACCCAACAUCUCACGACACGAGCUGACGACAGCCAUGCAGCACCUGUACAUACGUCCCGAAGGAGGCUCCCUGUUUCCAGGGAGUUUCAUAUGUAUGUCAAGCCCAGGUAAGGUUUUUCGCGUUGCAUCGAAUUAAUCCACAUAAUCCACCGCUUGUGCGGGUCCCCGUCAAUUCCUUUGAGUUUUAGCCUUGCGGCCGUACUCCCCAGGCGGUCAACUUCACGCGUUAGCUUCGUUACCAAGGAAUUACUUCCCCGACAACCAGUUGACAUCGUUUAGGGCGUGGACUAC
Molecule: unclassified non-coding RNA, 376 nt
Filed under: uncultured bacterium
Lineage: Bacteria
Description: contains 16S-23S intergenic spacer region
Source: RNAcentral